UACGGGGGGUGCAAGCGUUAUUCGGAUUUAUUGGGCGUAAAGAGCGCGUAGGCGGUUUAUCAAGUCAGAUGUGAAAGCCCUGGGCUCAACCUGGGAAGUGCAUUUGAAACUAGUAGACUUGAGUAUGGGAGAGGGGAGUGGAAUUCCUGGUGUAGAGGUGAAAUUCGUAGAUAUCAGGAGGAACACCGGUGGCGAAGGCGACUUCCUGGACCAAUACUGACGCUGAGGCGCGAAGGCGUGGGGAGCAAACAGGAUUAGAUACCCUGGUAGUCCACGCAGUAAACGGUGAUCACUAGGUGUAGCGGGUAUUGACCCCUGCUGUGCCGCAGUUAACGCAUUAAGUGAUCCGCCUGGGGAGUACGAUCGCAAGGUUAAA
This 376-nucleotide ribosomal RNA is filed under the name uncultured bacterium. RNAcentral's name for it is "bacterial SSU rRNA". It matches the Rfam family "Bacterial small subunit ribosomal RNA", at positions 524 to 898 of the family's 1533-position model. The record is from RNAcentral.